GAUGAACGCUGGCGGCGUGCCUAAUACAUGCAAGUCGAGCGAACAGAUAAGGAGCUUGCUCCUUUGACGUUAGCGGCGGACGGGUGAGUUACACGUGGAUAACCUACCUAUAAGACUGGGAUAACUUCGGGAAACCGGAGCUAAUACCGGAUAACAUAUUGAACCGCAUGGUUCAAUAGUGAAAGACGGCUUUGCUGUCACUUAUAGAUGGAUCCGCGCCGCAUUAGCUAGUUGGUAAGGUAACGGCUUACCAAGGCAACGAUGCGUAGCCGACCUGAGAGGGUGAUCGGCCACACUGGAACUGAGACACGGUCCAGACUCCUACGGGAGGCAGCAGUAGGGAAUCUUCCGCAAUGGGCGAAAGCCUGACGGAGCAACGCCGCGUGAGUGAUGAAGGUCUUCGGAUCGUAAAACUCUGUUAUUAGGGAAGAACAAAUGUGUAAGUAACUAUGCACGUCUUGACGGUACCUAAUCAGAAAGCCACGGCUAACUACGUG
This 497-nucleotide ribosomal RNA is filed under the name uncultured bacterium. RNAcentral's name for it is "partial 16S ribosomal RNA". It matches the Rfam family "Bacterial small subunit ribosomal RNA", at positions 28 to 507 of the family's 1533-position model. The record is from RNAcentral.